Molecule: long non-coding RNA, 163 nt
Organism: Eurytemora carolleeae
Lineage: Eukaryota; Metazoa; Arthropoda; Copepoda; Calanoida; Temoridae
Exons: 3
Source: RefSeq, a predicted model, not a curated record
UUUAUUUUUAGAUUGGUAUCCUUCAAUCCAUUGGACUGUUUAAAAAGAUUAGCUGGUCUAUGGAUAGUGGAAGGAAAGGAACUAUUCUACAACCAGCUAGCUCAUGUUACCAUCAUGUGCCCCAUGAGGUUCAAUAAAUUCCCUCUGGACAGCCAUAUUUGUU